UAGUGGGGCACCUCGUCCCAUCAUUUCUGACCAUUGGCUAUGCUGGCUACAGAUGAUGGGAGUCCGGCAAAAUCGGGGUGGCCCCCACAGAUUUCCUCAACCCCUUGCCCACACAGACCAGCAGUGGUUCUCCAGAAUUUCAGACCGGACUUUCCCCUAGCUCUGCCUGGAGAUGAUGAAGGUUCAACAAGCGACCUCCUGCAUCACUUAGGAGCUUUGACCCUAAGCUGUGGCUCCAUAGGCAGUAGAGGGAAGGCUCACCCUGUCUCAUGGACUCAAGGCAGACAACUGCGAUUUCACCUGACGCCCACCUGAUGAAUAUGAACAUGCAGGUUUUCAGAAAGCAAGGUGCAGGGUGCACAUGGACCCUCAGGCCUAUGUCCCUGGGAGGGACUAUCAGACGGUCUCUCUCUCUUUCCAAAAGCACCAGCAUGAUCAGUAAGUAUGGACAGACAUAGAAUCCUAGAACUGCAUACUGUGGAGGGACCACGCCGGUCAUC
This is a non-coding RNA of Podarcis muralis (Common wall lizard), 500 nucleotides long. The record is from RefSeq and is a predicted model, not a curated record. NCBI's taxonomy places the organism in Eukaryota, Metazoa, Chordata, Lepidosauria, Squamata, Lacertidae.